RNAcentral lists this ribosomal RNA (374 nucleotides) under uncultured organism. Its description in RNAcentral is "partial 16S ribosomal RNA". It matches the Rfam family "Bacterial small subunit ribosomal RNA", at positions 524 to 896 of the family's 1533-position model. The record is from RNAcentral.
GGGAGGGGGGGCUAGCGUUGUUCGGAAUUACUGGGCGUAAAGCGCGCGUAGGCGGACCUGCAAGUCGGGGGGGUGAAAGCCCGAGGCUCAACCUCGGAACUGCCUUCGAUACUGCGGGUCUCGAGUCCGGGAGAGGUGAGUGGAAUUCCUAGUGUAGAGGUGAAAUUCGUAGAUAUUAGGAAGAACACCAGUGGCGAAGGCGGCUCACUGGCCCGGUACUGACGCUGAGGCGCGAAAGCGUGGGGAGCAAACAGGAUUAGAUACCCUGGUAGUCCACGCCGUAAACUAUGGGUGCUAGCCGUCGGUCGGCAUGCCGGUCGGUGGCGCAGCAAACGCAUUAAGCACCCCGCCUGGGGAGUACGGUCGCAAGAUUA